UACGAAGGGCGCUAGCGUUGCUCGGAAUCACUGGGCGUAAAGGGUGCGUAGGCGGGUCUUUAAGUCAGGGGUGAAAUCCUGGAGCUCAACUCCAGAACUGCCUUUGAUACUGAAGAUCUUGAGUUCGGGAGAGGUGAGUGGAACUGCGAGUGUAGAGGUGAAAUUCGUAGAUAUUCGCAAGAACACCAGUGGCGAAGGCGGCUCACUGGCCCGAUACUGACGCUGAGGCACGAAAGCGUGGGGAGCAAACAGG
Molecule: ribosomal RNA, 253 nt
Filed under: uncultured bacterium
Lineage: Bacteria
Description: partial 16S ribosomal RNA
Rfam family: Bacterial small subunit ribosomal RNA
Source: RNAcentral